UGUACUGAACGUCGAAAACGUCGAUCUCCGGGUGGAUCUCUUCGAAGUAAGCCGCGUAGUAUCUGUUCUCUUCUACGAAGACGGUGCGGCCGUUGUGGUUUAGCGCUUUCCAUAGGAGAGUCUCGUGCGUGAGUCCGAAGACGAGGAGGUUGCACGGCGGAGCGCAGCGGCGGAGGACGUCGGAGAUUGAUUUCAUCUCGCCGUAAGACAUGUGGAAGCUGUCGUUGGAUCUUGACGCGUAGUGGAGCAAUGCGUUGAUGGUGGUUGUGGGGAGGUUGGUGUUGGUAGUGGUGGUUGGGGAAGGUGAAACUCCGGCGGCGGAUGUGACGACGGCGGCUACAGCGGCGGCGACGGACGUGUUUUUGGAAGGGAUUAUGGCAUCUCUAGUGUAGAGGAGAGUGAGGAGGAAGAUGAUGGUGAAGAAAGAGACGAAAGCGAGGAGCCAUAAACGAGUCGUGCUUGAUUGUUUUUGGAUGUAUGGGUGAAGAAGGAUGAGCUUUGUGUUCGUGUUCCCUGACCCGUUCUUCAUUCUUAUCUUCUUCUGAAGAUUUUGAGAGAGAGACACAAGAAGAAGAUGAAGGAUGGUUUAAGAUUUCUCAAAGGGACAAAGAUGAUUUUAAAAGGAAGUGAGUAGUGAGUAGUUUUCGUAAAAUGUGAACUAUAAGCAAAAGAGUUGUACAAACGUAGUAGACCAAAGUGAAACACAUUAUGAUAAUUUCUGAUUAACAUUCUAGAAGUUUAUUUCUUUCAAGGUUUUAUAUUGUUUUCACCAAAUAUCCAACCGUAAGAACUUUAUAUAUAUAUAGUCCAAUUUUAUUCUCUACUUUCUUAAUUACUCGACUAUGACUGAAAUAUCUGAUGGUGUGAAUUUUAAUUUUUGUAUUUUUCUUGAAUAAAUUCAUUUACUUACUGCUUUUCAAAUUCAAAAUUUUGAAGAAAAAAAAAUCAACAAACCAGAAUUAUAUAGACAAAAAAAUUCCUGUUAAGCCGCUAAUUAAGUGGUACAAUUGCAAGUAUCCUUCACAAAUAUUUAAUUAAACUAUAAAUAUCAAGAGUUUAUAUCAGAUUAAACUCAUACUGUCAUACAUGUUAUCCAACGUCUAGAAAACCCAGUAAAAACGAUUUCAAUUUAUAAAUACAAUAUUCAUCUUUAAUUUUUAAUCCUAAUAAUAAAAUAGUUAUGGACCAUGGAGUAUAUACAUUUUAGAGGGUUUCUCAUGUUUAUAUUAUUUGUUAUGACUAAUAGAAAAUUUUGUUUUGAUUAAAUUCAAGAUUAUUUUUUUAAUAGCGUUAAAAACAAGAUUCUACCAAAGGCGUGCAUGUUUUAUUAAUUUCCAUUAUAUAUUUAUACAACUUAUAAUGAGGGUGCGUGAGGUUGGUGUAUGUAUAAGUGUAAGAGUUUCGGUCAUUGCAAGAGACAUCAGAUCUAAUUACAGACCAAACGUCUCGGUCUCCUAUUGCUUUGUUUAGCUCUCAAGGAAACAGCCCAUAACUACGAGAUAAAAAAACACGCACACAAAACAUGAAAACUAUAGUAAUAUUUAAUGAGAAUUCGGCCAAAACAAACCUGAACUUUGCACGAAUUGCCAAAAAAAACAUGAACUUUUGGGCUGACCAAAAAAACACCAAACUUUCAUUGACUUUAGAAUUAAUUAACAAUGUUUUCGCUGACUUGCCAAUUUAGCACGCCGUCAACAAAUUUAACAGAAAUAUUUAACGUCGUUUAUUGUUGGCGUUAAGUAAAACGACGUCGUUUGCAAAUGAGAUGAAACGACGUCGUUUUACAUGAUUUGAAAUUAAAAAUAUGUAAACCCCUAGAAUCGAACCCAGGUUGGUUGGUCAAAUGACAAGGUAUUUUACCACUAGGCUACUGGCACUUUCAAUGUACUUACUAACAUGUUUAUUUUUAUUUGAUACAUGUUAAAUAUAAAAAAUUCUCUAAAAACUUAAUAAUAAAAAUACUAAAAUAUAUCUAUUAUAUUUUAAUUAAUAUUAUAAAAUUUUAAAAUAAAAAUAUUUUCUAUAAUUUUAAAAAUUUAAAACUAUAACUUUCUAAAUAUAAUUUUGAUAUUUAUUAUAAUAUUAUGAUUUUUGAUAUUUUUAUAAUUAUAUAGAAUGUAAAUAUUGUUAAUUUAUUAUUUGACCGCUGUUGUAUUCGGUAGUUAACCAGUCAUAAGUAUCCCGCAAACGCAUCAAUUUCUAACCACAGAACCAGUCGUAAAAAUCUCUUAAAACCGCUAGAAACCGCAACCUCCCGCAUCCGCAAACUUCCGCAGGCGCAACCGCUGCGUUUGAACCAGUCAGGCCCUAAGUAAAAAAAAAGAGUUGGAACAAUUGAACAAACAGUGUGUGUUAAUUGUGUUUUGUUUAAUAUACUCAUCUGUAGAUUCUUCUUGACAUAUAUCUAACCCAGGGUAUAGAAAAUCGAUUGGAUUAAAUUAAAGUCUUCACAUAGAUGAUAAGAUCCAAGAUCUACAAUGAGAAAGAAAACUUUUAUUUUUACAAACUCCGCAAUAACAAUGCGUGACGUCUCUCAAAUUUUUAGGACAAAGAAGAAACAGAGCGUUUCUUACGAUCACUACAAAACCGGGUGCUGUUUUUAUCCAUCUUAUCCAACACGUAGUGCGCAAGCAACUCAUUAGACUCGACAAGAUUCUCCCGACACAAGAACUCAUCUCCACAAAGCCUCUCAACGUCUCUGUAAUAAUCAUGCACGAACACAUGCGUCUUCGGACUCCCGCCUUUUUUGCUCCGAGCAAGAACCGCCGCCGUGAAAAUCGACGACAUCCUCCCCGGUCCUUCGUUAGCGUCGCCACGUGGCCCGUCCACAAAGAUCACGUCCCAGUCAACAUCGUAGACGUGAUUAGGCAAGUCGUUUAAACCUAGUUUGCAGUCGGAGAAGAGGAGAUUCUGCACGGGACGACACUCGUUUCCAGCGGCUUCUUUCGCCGCAGCGACGAGCUCUCCGGCCUCGUGAGCUUUGGUCGUGUAUUGAACGUCGAAAACGUCGAUCUCCGGGUGGAUCUCUUCGAAGUAAGCCGCGUAGUAUCGAUUCUCUUCUACGAAGACGGUGCGUCCGUUGUGGUUUAGCGCUUUCCAGAGGAGAGUCUCGUGCGUGAGUCCGAAGACGAGGAGGUUGCACGGCGGAGCGCAGCGGCGGAGGACGUCGGAGAUUGAUUUCAUCUCGCCGUAAGACAUGUGGAAGCUGUCGUUGGAUCUUGACGCGUAGUGGAGCAAUGCGUUGAUGGUGGUUGUGGGGAGGUUGGUGUUGGUAGUGGUGGUUGGGGAAGGUGAAACUCCGGCGGCGGAUGUGACGACGGCGGCUACAGCGGCGGCGACGGACGUGUUUUUGGAAGGGAUUAUGGCAUCUCUAGUGUAGAGGAGAGUGAGGAGGAAGAUGAUGGUGAAGAAAGAGACGAAAGCGAGGAGCCAUAAACG
Molecule: long non-coding RNA, 3438 nt
Filed under: Brassica napus (rape)
Lineage: Eukaryota; Viridiplantae; Streptophyta; Magnoliopsida; Brassicales; Brassicaceae
Description: long non-coding RNA (BNAP_LNC008129)
Source: RNAcentral